This 460-nucleotide ribosomal RNA is filed under the name uncultured bacterium. RNAcentral's name for it is "partial 16S ribosomal RNA". It matches the Rfam family "Bacterial small subunit ribosomal RNA", at positions 338 to 795 of the family's 1533-position model. The record is from RNAcentral.
CCUACGGGAGGCAGCAGUGAGGAAUAUUGGUCAAUGGGCGCAAGCCUGAACCAGCCAAGUCGCGUGAGGGAUGAAGGUCCUGCGGAUCGUAAACCUCUUUUGUCGGGGAGCAAAGGCCGGCACGUGUCCCGGGCAGGAGAGUACCCGAAGAAAAAGCAUCGGCUAACUCCGUGCCAGCAGCCGCGGUAAUACGGAGGAUGCGAGCGUUAUCCGGAUUUAUUGGGUUUAAAGGGUGCGUAGGCGGGAAGUUAAGUCGGCGGUCAAAUGUCGGGGCUCAACCCCGGCCUGCCGUUGAAACUGGGUGUCUUGAGUGGGCGAGAAGUAUGCGGAAUGCGUGGUGUAGCGGUGAAAUGCAUAGAUAUCACGCAGAACCCCGAUUGCGAAGGCAGCAUACCGGCGCUCAACUGACGCUGAGGCACGAAAGCGUGGGUAUCGAACAGGAUUAGAUACCCCAGUAGUC